AAUGAACGCUGGCGGCAUGCCUUACACAUGCAAGUCGAGCGGCCACACGACCUACUUUGUCCUCUUGAUUUCGCGUCGCGCACGUGAGUGUCAUGUAUCUGACCUUCCUAUUUGACUGGGGUUACCGUAGCGAAACUUAGCUUAUUACCGCUUAUUUUCUGAGGCGGAUAGUUCGGUACCUUCGGGCCUUUUUCUUGUAGCUUAUAGAUUGUUGCGUGCCGCAUUAGCUAGUUGGUAAGGUAACGGAUUACCAAGGCAACGAUGCGUAGGAGAGCUGAGAGGGUGAUCGGCCACACUGGAACUGAGACACGGUCCAGACUCCUACGGGAGGCAGCAGUAGGGAAUCUUCCACAAUGGGCGAAAGCCUGACCCAGCAAUGCCGCGUGAGUGAAGAAGGCCUUCGGAUUGUAAAACUCUUUUAUCAGGGAAGAAAAAAUACCCACUAAAACAUGCACUUCAUGACGGUACCAAAACAAAAAGCACCGGCUAACUACGUG
Molecule: ribosomal RNA, 497 nt
Filed under: uncultured bacterium
Lineage: Bacteria
Description: partial 16S ribosomal RNA
Rfam family: Bacterial small subunit ribosomal RNA
Source: RNAcentral